This 361-nucleotide ribosomal RNA is filed under the name Holosporales bacterium. RNAcentral describes it as "bacterial SSU rRNA". It matches the Rfam family "Bacterial small subunit ribosomal RNA", at positions 1 to 373 of the family's 1533-position model. The record is from RNAcentral. Lineage: Bacteria; Pseudomonadati; Pseudomonadota; Alphaproteobacteria; Holosporales.
UAACAUGAGAGUUUGAUCCUGGCUCAGAACGAACGCUGGCGGCAUGCUUAACACAUGCAAGUCGAACGGUCAUAUAUGGAGCUUGCUUCGUGUAUGAUAGUGGCAAACGGGUGAGUAACGCGUGGGAAUGUACCCCUUAGUUCGGAAUAACGUUUGGAAACGAACGCUAAUACCGAAUAUUCUAGAGAUAGGAAAGAUUUAUCGCUGAGGGAGCGGCCCGCGUUAGAUUACGGUAGUUGGUAGGGUAAAGGCCUACCAAGCCUAUGAUCUAUAGCUGGUCUGAGAGGACGAUCAGCCACACUGGGACUGAGACACGGCCCAGACUUCUACGGAAGGCAGCAGUGGGGAAUAUUGGACAAUG